GACGAACGCUGGCGGCGUGCUUAACACAUGCAAGUCGAACGGAAAGGCCCUGCUUUUGUGGGGUGCUCGAGUGGCGAACGGGUGAGUAACACGUGAGUAACCUGCCCUUGACUUUGGGAUAACUUCAGGAAACUGGGGCUAAUACCGGAUAGGAGCUCCUGCUGCAUGGUGGGGGUUGGAAAGUUUCGGCGGUUGGGGAUGGACUCGCGGCUUAUCAGCUUGUUGGUGGGGUAGUGGCUUACCAAGGCUUUGACGGGUAGCCGGCCUGAGAGGGUGACCGGCCACAUUGGGACUGAGAUACGCCGCAGACUCCUACGGGAGGCAGCAGUGGGGAAUAUUGCACAGUGGGCGGGAGCCUGAUGCAGCGACGCCGCGGGCGGGAUGACGGCCUUCGGGUUGUAAACCGCUUUCGCCUGUGACGAAGCGUGAGUGACGGUAAUGGGUAAAGAAGCACCGGCUAACUACGUG
RNAcentral lists this ribosomal RNA (468 nucleotides) under uncultured bacterium. Its description in RNAcentral is "partial 16S ribosomal RNA". It matches the Rfam family "Bacterial small subunit ribosomal RNA", at positions 28 to 507 of the family's 1533-position model. The record is from RNAcentral.